RNAcentral lists this ribosomal RNA (447 nucleotides) under uncultured bacterium. RNAcentral describes it as "bacterial SSU rRNA". It matches the Rfam family "Bacterial small subunit ribosomal RNA", at positions 76 to 541 of the family's 1533-position model. The record is from RNAcentral.
UACUACAGAAAAUGACUGAGCGGCGAACGGGUGAGUAACGCGUGAGCAAUCUACCUUAGUUACAGGGAUAGCCCGAGGAAACUCGGAUUAAUACCUGAUAUUCUUUAUAUUUCGCAUGAAAUUAAAAGGAAAGGUCAGCCGAACUAAGAUGAGCUCGCGUUCUAUCAGCUAGUUGGUGAGGUAAAAGCUCACCAAGGCUACGACGGAUAGCUGGUCUGAGAGGACGAUCAGCCACACUGGGACUGAGACACGGCCCAGACUCCUACGGGAGGCUGCAGCAGGGAAUAUUGCGCAAUGAGCGAAAGCUUGACGCAGCGACACCGCGUGUGGGAUGACGGAUCUAGGUUUGUAAACCACUUUCAGGAGGGAAGAAAAUGACGGUACCUCCACAAGAAGCCCCGGCCAACUACGUGCCAGCAGCCGCGGUAAUACGUANGGGGCGAGCGU